Molecule: transfer RNA, 72 nt
Filed under: Microcaldota archaeon
Lineage: Archaea; Nanobdellati; Microcaldota
Description: tRNA-Ala
Rfam family: tRNA
About the family: Transfer RNA (tRNA) molecules are approximately 80 nucleotides in length. Their secondary structure includes four short double-helical elements and three loops (D, anti-codon, and T loops). Further hydrogen bonds mediate the characteristic L-shaped molecular structure. tRNAs have two regions of fundamental functional importance: the anti-codon, which is responsible for specific mRNA codon recognition, and the 3' end, to which the tRNAs corresponding amino acid is attached (by aminoacyl-tRNA synthetases). tRNAs cope with the degeneracy of the genetic code in two manners: having more than one tRNA (with a specific anti-codon) for a particular amino acid; and 'wobble' base-pairing, i.e. permitting non-standard base-pairing at the 3rd anti-codon position.
Source: RNAcentral
GGGCUCUUAGCUCAGGAGUAGAGCGCGACGUUCGCAACGUCGAGGCCGCGGGUGCGAAUCCCGCAGAGUCCA